This 175-nucleotide ribosomal RNA is filed under the name uncultured bacterium. Its description in RNAcentral is "partial 16S ribosomal RNA". It matches the Rfam family "Bacterial small subunit ribosomal RNA", at positions 355 to 525 of the family's 1533-position model. The record is from RNAcentral.
CGCGGGGGGUUGGCAUGGGGGCACCCUGAUCCAGCAUGCCGCGUGUGUGAAGAAGGCCUUCGGGUUGUAAAGCACUUUUAUCGGGAACGAAACAUUGUCGGCCAAUACCCGGCAAGACUGACGGUACCCGAGGAAUAAGCACCGGCUAACUCCGUGCCAGCAGCCGCGGUAAUUA